Molecule: long non-coding RNA, 630 nt
Filed under: Nicotiana benthamiana
Lineage: Eukaryota; Viridiplantae; Streptophyta; Magnoliopsida; Solanales; Solanaceae
Description: long non-coding RNA (NBEN_LNC031628)
Source: RNAcentral
UGUGUACUGGAGGAACCAGCCAAUUCCUGUUGAUGACAAGGAUGAUUUUAAGGAGUAGGACCUCCGCUGCUGUUUUUUGUCGAUGUUAGUUUGUUAGAUGAAGUUAAAAGCUCAAUCAUGUCUAUUAUGCAAAGGCAUGGCUGGGUAGCUUGCAUUUCUUGGCUGAAACUGCUUUUUGUUGUUGUUAGUUUGUUAGAUGAAGUUAAAAGCUCAAUCAUGUCUAUUAUGCAAUGGCAUGGCUGGGUAGCUUGCAUUUCUUGGCUGAAGCUGUAGAGGAAGCUAAAUUUUGGACCUUGGAAAGUUCUCCAAUUUAAUAUGUUAGAAGCAUAGCACUAAAGAGCCUUCCAAAAUAUUUUAAAUAUGUAUUGGGGCUGGGCUACCCAUGGCAUUGUAACCAAAACUUAGAAGGCUGUGCUUGUAAUGUUAAACUAGGAAAUUUUAGGUAGGACUCUUGGUUUACUGCAUCUAUUUAUUGGGAAAGAUAAGAUUAUGUUGGAUGAAGGACACGAGCUUGAUUUAAAAUUUUGAGCAGGGAGUAAAGGGGGUAAAGUGCAGUUAUACUGUUAUAACUUGUUUGGCCAAGUUUUUGGGGGGAGAAAAUUGUUUUUUCCUGUUAAAAAUGCUAUUUCA